This 496-nucleotide ribosomal RNA is filed under the name uncultured bacterium. RNAcentral's name for it is "partial 16S ribosomal RNA". It matches the Rfam family "Bacterial small subunit ribosomal RNA", at positions 27 to 506 of the family's 1533-position model. The record is from RNAcentral.
GGGGGGGGGUGGGGGGGGGGGUGGGACGUGGGGGGCGGGCGAGCGGGCGGGGGGCGGGCGCGGGGGGCGUUAGCGGCGGACGGGGGGGUGACACGUGGAGAACCUACCUAUCAGACUUGUAUAACUUCGUGAAACCGGCGCUAAUCCCGGAUAAUAUCUUCAACCGCCUGGUUCAAUAGUAAACAACGGUUUUGCUGCCACUUGUAGGUGGAUCCGCUCCGCAUUAGCUAGUUGGUAAGGUAACGGCUUACCAAGGCGACGAUGCGUAGCCGCCUUGAGAGGGUGAUCGGCCACACUGGACCUGAGACACGGUCCAGACUCCUACGGGAGGCAGCAGUAGGUAAUCUUCAGCAAUGGGCGAAAGCCUGAAGGAGCAACGCCGCGUGAGUGAUGAAGGUCUUCGGAUCGUAAAACUCUGUUAUUAGGUAAGAACAAAUGUGUAAGUAACUAUGCACGUCUUGACGGUACCUACUCAGAAAGCCACGGCUAACUGCGU